AGGCCAAACCACCCUGAAUAUACCUGAUCUCAUCUGAUCUCGGAAGCUAAGCAGGGUCGGGCCUGGUUAGUACUUGGACGGGAGGAGAUGGGGAGAAUAUUCUG
RNAcentral lists this ribosomal RNA (104 nucleotides) under Bos indicus x Bos taurus (hybrid cattle). The record is from RNAcentral. Lineage: Eukaryota; Metazoa; Chordata; Mammalia; Artiodactyla; Bovidae.